Molecule: ribosomal RNA, 491 nt
Filed under: uncultured bacterium
Lineage: Bacteria
Description: partial 16S ribosomal RNA
Rfam family: Bacterial small subunit ribosomal RNA
Source: RNAcentral
AGUGAACGCUGGCGGUAGGCCUAACACAUGCAAGUCGAACGGCAGCACAGUAAGAGCUUGCUCUUACGGGUGGCGAGUGGCGGACGGGUGAGGAAUACAUCGGAAUCUACUUUUUCGUGGGGGAUAACGUAGGGAAACUUACGCUAAUACCGCAUACGACCUACGGGUGAAAGCAGGGGAUCUUCGGACCUUGCGCGAUUGAAUGAGCCGAUGUCGGAUUAGCUAGUUGGCGGGGUAAAGGCCCACCAAGGCGACGAUCCGUAGCUGGUCUGAGAGGAUGAUCAGCCACACUGGAACUGAGACACGGUCCAGACGCCUACGGGAGGCAGCAGUGGGGAAUAUUGGAAAAUGGGCGCAAGCCUGAUCCAGCCAUACCGCGUGGGUGAAGAAGGCUUUCGGGUUGUAAAGCCCUUUUGUUGGGAAAGAAAAGCAGCAGGUUAAUACCCCGCUGUUCUGACGGUACCCAAAGAAUAAGCACCGGCUAACUUCGU